Molecule: ribosomal RNA, 503 nt
Filed under: uncultured bacterium
Lineage: Bacteria
Description: partial 16S ribosomal RNA
Rfam family: Bacterial small subunit ribosomal RNA
Source: RNAcentral
GAUGAACGCUAGCGGCAGGCCUAACACAUGCAAGUCGAGGGGUAGCAGGAUUAAGCUUGCUUAAUUGCUGACGACCGGCGCACGGGUGCGUAACGCGUAUGCAACCUACCUUAUACUGGGGUAUAGCCCGGAGAAAUUCGGAUUAAUCCCCCAUAGUACUAAUGAAUCGCAUGGUUUAUUAGUUAAAGCAUUGCGGUAUAAGAUGGGCAUGCGUCCUAUUAGCUAGAUGGUGAGGUAACGGCUCACUAUGGCUACGAUAGGUAGGGGGCCUGAGAGAGUGGUCCCCCACACUGGUACUAAGACACGGACCAGACUCCUACGGGAGGCAGCAGUGAGGAAUAUUGGUCAAUGGGCGCAAGCCUGAACCAGCCAUGCCGCGUGCAGGAAGAAUGCCCUAUGGGUUGUAAACUGCUUUUAUUUGGGAAUAAACCUCUUUACGUGUAGAGAGCUGAAGGUACCAAAUGAAUAAGCACCGGCUAACUCCGUGCCAGCAGCCGCGGUAA